AGUGAACGCUGGCGGUAGGCCUAACACAUGCAAGUCGAACGGCAGCACAGUAAGAGCUUGCUCUUCCGGGUGGCGAGUGGCGGACGGGUGAGGAAUACAUCGGAAUCUACUUUUUCGUGGGGGUUAACGUAGGGAAACUUACGCUAAUACCGCAUACGACCUACGGGUGAAAGCAGGGGAUCUUCGGACCUUGCGCGAUUGAAUGAGCCGAUGUCGGAUUAGCUAGUUGGCGGGGUAAAGGCCCACCAAGGCGACGAUCCGUAGCUGGUCUGAGAGGAUGAUCAGCCACACUGGAACUGAGACACGGUCCAGACUCCUACGGGAGGCAGCAGUGUGGAAUAUUGGACAAUGGGCGCAAGCCUGAUCCAGCCAUACCGCGUGGGUGAAGAAGGCCUUCGGGUUGUAAAGCCCUUUUGUUGGGAAAGAAAAGCAGCAGGUUAAUACCCCGCUGUUCUGACGGUACCCAAAGAAUAAGCACCGGCUAACUUCGUG
RNAcentral lists this ribosomal RNA (492 nucleotides) under uncultured bacterium. RNAcentral's name for it is "partial 16S ribosomal RNA". It matches the Rfam family "Bacterial small subunit ribosomal RNA", at positions 29 to 507 of the family's 1533-position model. The record is from RNAcentral.